This is a long non-coding RNA of Sebastes umbrosus (honeycomb rockfish), 603 nucleotides long. RefSeq lists it as uncharacterized. Lineage: Eukaryota; Metazoa; Chordata; Actinopteri; Perciformes; Sebastidae. The record is from RefSeq and is a predicted model, not a curated record. The transcript has 2 exons.
CCAAUCCCCCUCCUCCCGCCCGGAUCAUUGACAGUCAGCCAGCUUAUUCAGUCAGACGACUGAUGGAUGUUAGACGUAGAGGCCGGGGUCUUCAGUAUCUGGUAGAUUGGGAGGGAUACGGCCCAGAGGAGCGCUCCUGGGUUCCUCGUUCCCGCAUCCUAGAUGCUGGGAUGGUUAGGGAGUUUCACCAGGCUUAUCCUGGGAAACCUGGUAGAUUGCCUAGAGGCUCUCUUUAAGGGGGGGGGGGGUACUGUUAUGUUCACUACCUUUAGUCUAGAAGUUCCUUUUGUUUCCUAUGUUUCCCUGUCCUUUUCUCUUGUGUGUUUUCCCCUGGUUUGUCUAGUUUGUCAGUGUGUCGGGAGGUGUGGCCUUCCUUCUCCUCCUCCUCCUCUGGGCGGGCUCGGCUGGAGCAGCUGCCACCAAUCAACACACCUGCAAUAUAUAUACCCCGGGUUUCAUGCUACUCUUCGCCAGAUCGUUCCGUCGCCCUCAGUGGUCUGUCACCUGCCAGCUGUGGCUGCUCCCCACCUGCCUGCUCACUCCUGCACUCUGCUCAUUGGAUUAAUUUGGAACCUUUUUGGAAUAAAUAUUCUUUUUGUUCUA